Molecule: ribosomal RNA, 758 nt
Filed under: Salmonella enterica
Lineage: Bacteria; Pseudomonadati; Pseudomonadota; Gammaproteobacteria; Enterobacterales; Enterobacteriaceae
Also listed under: 2 other names
Description: partial 23S ribosomal RNA
Rfam family: Bacterial large subunit ribosomal RNA
Source: RNAcentral
GUGGACGCCAGUCUGCAUGGAGCCGACCUUGAAAUACCACCCUUUAAUGUUUGAUGUUCUAACGUGGACCCGUAAUCCGGGUUGCGGACAGUGUCUGGUGGGUAGUUUGACUGGGGCGGUCUCCUCCUAAAGAGUAACGGAGGAGCACGAAGGUUGGCUAAUCCUGGUCGGACAUCAGGAGGUUAGUGCAAUGGCAUAAGCCAGCUUGACUGCGAGCGUGACGGCGCGAGCAGGUGCGAAAGCAGGUCAUAGUGAUCCGGUGGUUCUGAAUGGAAGGGCCAUCGCUCAACGGAUAAAAGGUACUCCGGGGAUAACAGGCUGAUACCGCCCAAGAGUUCAUAUCGACGGCGGUGUUUGGCACCUCGAUGUCGGCUCAUCACAUCCUGGGGCUGAAGUAGGUCCCAAGGGUAUGGCUGUUCGCCAUUUAAAGUGGUACGCGAGCUGGGUUUAGAACGUCGUGAGACAGUUCGGUCCCUAUCUGCCGUGGGCGCUGGAGAACUGAGGGGGGCUGCUCCUAGUACGAGAGGACCGGAGUGGACGCAUCACUGGUGUUCGGGUUGUCAUGCCAAUGGCACUGCCCGGUAGCUAAAUGCGGAAGAGAUAAGUGCUGAAAGCAUCUAAGCACGAAACUUGCCCCGAGAUGAGUUCUCCCUGAGACUUAGAGUCUCCUGAAGGAACGUUGAAGACGACGACGUUGAUAGGCCGGGUGUGUAAGCGCAGCGAUGCGUUGAGCUAACCGGUACUAAUGAACCGUGAGG